CCUACGGGUGGCAGCAGUGGGGAAUAUUGCACAAUGGGCGCAAGCCUGAUGCAGCCAUGCCGCGUGUGUGAAGAAGGCCUUCGGGUUGUAAAGCACUUUCAGCGGGGAGGAAGGCGGUGAGGUUAAUAACCUCAUCGAUUGACGUUACCCGCAGAAGAAGCACCGGCUAACUCCGUGCCAGCAGCCGCGGUAAUACGGAGGGUGCAAGCGUUAAUCGGAAUCACUGGGCGUAAAGCGCACGCAGGCGGUCUGUCAAGUCGGAUGUGAAAUCCCCGGGCUCAACCUGGGAACUGCAUUCGAAACUGGCGGGCUAGAGUCUUGUAGAGGGGGGUAGAAUUCCAGGUGUAGCGGUGAAAUGCGUAGAGAUCUGGAGGAAUACCGGUGGCGAAGGCGGCCCCCUGGACAAAGACUGACGCUCAGGUGCGAAAGCGUGGGGAGCAAACAGGAUUAGAUACCCGUGUAGUC
This 465-nucleotide ribosomal RNA is filed under the name uncultured Klebsiella sp. RNAcentral describes it as "bacterial SSU rRNA". It matches the Rfam family "Bacterial small subunit ribosomal RNA", at positions 338 to 795 of the family's 1533-position model. The record is from RNAcentral. Lineage: Bacteria; Pseudomonadati; Pseudomonadota; Gammaproteobacteria; Enterobacterales; Enterobacteriaceae.